AGUCUACCAGGAAAUGGUGUCUUCCUGCUUUGAAACCGUUUCGCAUCGCCGAAACUGAUGGCGCCUACAAAUAU
This 74-nucleotide non-coding RNA is filed under the name Chitinophaga jiangningensis. RNAcentral describes it as "Fluoride sequence". It matches the Rfam family "Fluoride riboswitch aptamer (crcB RNA motif)". The record is from Rfam by way of RNAcentral. Lineage: Bacteria; Pseudomonadati; Bacteroidota; Chitinophagia; Chitinophagales; Chitinophagaceae.